AGGACGAACGCUGGCGGCGUGCUUAACACAUGCAAGUCGAGCGGAAAGGCCCUUCGGGGUACUCGAGCGGCGAACGGGUGAGUAACACGUGGGCAACCUGCCCCUAGCUCUGGGAUAACUCCGGGAAACCGGGGCUAAUACCGGAUACGAUCUUCCACGGCAUCUCGGAAGAUGGAAAGUUUUUCGGCUAGGGAUGGGCCCGCGGCCUAUCAGCUUGUUGGUGAGGUAACGGCCCACCAAGGCGACGACGGGUAGCCGGCCUGAGAGGGCGACCGGCCACGACUGGGACUGAGACACGGCCCAGACUCCUACGGGAGGCAGCAGUGGGGAAUAUUGCGCAAUGGGCGAAAGCCUGACGCAGCGACGCCGCGUGAGGGAUGGAAGGCCUUCGGGUUGUAAACCUCUUUCAGCAGGGACGAAGCGAGAGUGACGGUACCUGCAGAAGAAGCGACCGCCAACUACGUGCUAGCAGCCGAC
RNAcentral lists this ribosomal RNA (477 nucleotides) under uncultured soil bacterium. Its description in RNAcentral is "bacterial SSU rRNA". It matches the Rfam family "Bacterial small subunit ribosomal RNA", at positions 26 to 518 of the family's 1533-position model. The record is from RNAcentral.